UACGUAGGGGGCUAGCGUUGUCCGGAAUCAUUGGGCGUAAAGCGCGUGUAGGCGGCCCGGUAAGUCCGCUGUGAAAGUCGGGGGCUCAACCCUCGAAUGCCGGUGGAUACUGUCGGGCUCGAGUGCGGAAGAGGCGAGUGGAAUUCCUGGUGUAGCGGUGAAAUGCGCAGAUAUCAGGAGGAACACCGAUUGCGAAGGCAGCUCGCUGGGACGUUACUGACGCUGAGACGCGAAAGCGUGGGGAGCAAACAGG
Molecule: ribosomal RNA, 253 nt
Filed under: uncultured bacterium
Lineage: Bacteria
Description: partial 16S ribosomal RNA
Rfam family: Bacterial small subunit ribosomal RNA
Source: RNAcentral